AAUCAGGAGCUAAAAAGUCAUGUAACCCACUGAUCUUUGCCACGUGUCUUUCAAUGCGUUGGAUCCCACGUUAUUACCCUAACAUUAAGUAGCCUCCAACCAAGAAGAGGCAUCACUUCUUUCAUAGGAAUCUCUCUCUCUCUCUCUCUCUCUCUCUCUCUCUCUGCUAGGCUUGCAAAGCAACUAUCUUUACUCGUUAACAGAAAGGAAACACCCAAAUCUUAGCUUGCCCUAACUUCCUCUUCGUCCAUAUAUACCUCUAGAUUCUCUACUAAAAGGUUAUUCCUUUUCUUGUUUUAGUUAUCUUCUCUCCCCUUCUCGCCUUUUCUCCAUCUCUAGACAUGGGUGAUUUUGAGAACAAGGUGAAGGUGAGAGCCAAGGAGCUCACGGUUUUUUUCAAGAAAGGAGUCAGGAUCGUGGGACAAUCAUGCAAGAAAGGAUGGAACAAGGUCAAGAACAUGAAGAAACGUUGAUUGAUGUUGUUAUGAAUACUAUUACCAACAAAUCCCAUGUUUGAUCUCGUUACUCUCUAUAUAUAUGAAUGGAAAAGGAUCUCAUGUGGGUGUUAUUUUGUUUGUUCUUGUAAUAUUUAAGACAUUAUAGGCUUGCUUUUUCUUUAUUAAUUGUUUCUGGGUUGGUCCUUAAUGCUGUUCUAAUCAUGUUUGUGUUGCGAUCUUGCCAUGUUGAUGAUUUAUUAUUGGAUUUAUUGAUGUAAAUUUCUUUAAUCUACUGCUUUGUCUCUCUUCAUCUUUUUUGUGGUGUUGUCUCGGAUGCUAGCUGACCAAGAUUCUAGUGUCCACACUUCAUAGAGCCAUCAAAGUAUGCUAUUAUAAUGGUAGUUCAUAUGUCAUCAAUCAGAUAAUUUUAGAACAAAAUAUGCUAAUUAUUCUAU
RNAcentral lists this long non-coding RNA (892 nucleotides) under Populus tremula. RNAcentral's name for it is "long non-coding RNA (PTRE_LNC001614)". Lineage: Eukaryota; Viridiplantae; Streptophyta; Magnoliopsida; Malpighiales; Salicaceae. The record is from RNAcentral.